Molecule: ribosomal RNA, 513 nt
Filed under: uncultured bacterium
Lineage: Bacteria
Description: partial 16S ribosomal RNA
Rfam family: Bacterial small subunit ribosomal RNA
Source: RNAcentral
GACGAACGCUGGCGGCGUGCCUAAUACAUGCAAGUUGAACGCUGAAGACUGGUACUUGUACUAGUUGGAUGAGUAGCGAACGGGUGAGUAACGCGUGGGUAACCUACCUCUUAGCGGGGGACAACUAUUGGAAACGAUAGCUAAUACCGCAUAACAAUACCUAACACAUGUUAAGUAUUUGAAAGCACCUACUGGUGCACUAAGAGAUGGACCCGCGUUGUAUUAGCUAGUUGGUAGUGUAAUGGACUACCAAGGCGAUGAUACAUAGCCGACCUGAGAGGGUGAUCGGCCACAUUGGGACUGAGACACGGCCCAAACUCCUACGGGAGGCAGCAGUAGGGAAUCUUCGGCAAUGGGGGCAACCCUGACCGAGCAACGCCGCGUGAGUGAAGAAGGUUUUCGGAUCGUAAAACUCUGUUGUUAGAGAAGAACGUCAGUGAGAGUGGAAAGUUCACUGAGUGACGGUAUCUAACCAGAAAGGGACGGCUAACUACGUGCCAGCCGCCGCGGUAA